GUUCCUCUGUGAAUCGGAGCCAUGGAAGCGAUACUGGUAGACUGUGUAAACAACAGUCUCAGGCAUUUCAUGUACCGAAACGCCAUUUUUAUGUGCGAGCGUCUAUGUGCCGAGUUCCCUUCUGAGACAAAUUUACAGUUGUUAGCUGGAUGCUAUUUGCAAAAUAAUCAAGCUUACUCCGCAUAUCAUAUUCUAAAAGGCACACAAAUGGCUCAAUCCCGCUACUUGUUUGCAAUAUCAUGCUUUCAGAUGGAUCUUCUAAAUGAAGCUGAAGCAGCAUUAUGUCCUGCUAAUG
RNAcentral lists this unclassified non-coding RNA (295 nucleotides) under Hevea brasiliensis (rubber tree). Lineage: Eukaryota; Viridiplantae; Streptophyta; Magnoliopsida; Malpighiales; Euphorbiaceae. The record is from RNAcentral.